Long non-coding RNA from Homo sapiens (human), 1309 nucleotides. RefSeq lists it as uncharacterized. The transcript is spliced from 2 exons. NCBI's taxonomy places the organism in Eukaryota, Metazoa, Chordata, Mammalia, Primates, Hominidae. The record is from RefSeq and is a predicted model, not a curated record.
CCCACGGUUCUUCCCCCAACCCUGCCCAGCUCUGGGGGCCUUUCUCUCAUCUCUCUCCCUUUUGUUGUUGCUGAAAAAUGCUGCUGUUUUUCUCGUGGCUAAGUUAUAUAUGCUCUUAAAAAGUAAUGCCCGGCAUGGAGGCUCACACCUUUAAUCCCAACGCUUUAGGAGGUGGAGGCGGGAGGAUCGCUUGAGCCCAGGAGUUCAAGACCAGCCUGGGUAACAAAGUGAGACCCCAUCUCCAUAAACAAACACAUAAAUAGUAAGAACUUGAUAAAGGUCUGAGAAAGAAAUUAGAGAUCACUGUGAAUCCUUUCCAUGCUGACAUUUUGGCACAUUUUCCCCAGGCUGCGUGAGGCCCAGGCUGAAUGUGCACAUUGGCAUCUUGUUUUCUUUAUUAACAUCAUUUCAGAAGCAUUUUCUGAGAUGAGUACAAACUGAAAACAUUCUUCUGAACACCUGCAUGGAGCCCUCUUUUCACACAUGACCCUGUGAUGGGCCAGCUGGGCUUUGGAUAAAAAAAAGAAAAAAAGGAAAAAAUGAUUAGAGGUGAUCCAGUAGCGCGAUGCUCCUCCCAUCUGAGGCAAAGGAAGAAGAAAUAAUUUAAAAAUGUUCCCAGAGCAAAAACAGCCGUUUUCUAAAGAAUGGCCCCACAAUUGGUUCAAGUUGAAGAGCCUCCCCGAGGAAUAACAGCUUCGUCAUCCAUCUAGUUCAGGCGUUGUUUCUAUAGUAACCUGUGACGUGGUCCCCUUCCCAAAACACAAAACAAAACAAAAAACAGAAACAAAAACAAUGAAUCCCUGAGAACAGUGAGAAAGAAAAAGCUCUUGCUUCCUUUGGCCUACGGAAGGGUGUGGCUGUUGAGCUGAGCCUUGGAGUUCCUGGGUUUGCCGGUUUCCCCCUCUGGCAGUGCUGGGGGCUUUGAGCCAGCAACCUCAAAGAAUGCCCAUGCCAGGGAGGCCAGCAUGCACGCAGGUACCAGCACAUCUGGGCACUUUCUCCAUGGUCCGCUGUCCUAAUCCUGACUAUUUCAGCACCCAGGGAGCAAGCCAAGAACAAAAACACCUAUCAUCCAUGCCCGGCAUUAGAAAAUCUCAUUGUUGGUGAGAAUGAUGGUUUCCAGCUUCAUCCGUGUCCCUACAAAGGACAUGAACUCAUCGUUUUCUAUGGCUGCGUAGUAUUCCAUGGUGUAUAUGUGCCACAUUUUCUUAAUCCAGUCUAUCAUUGAUGGACAUUUGGGUUGGUUUCAAGUCUUUGCUAUUGUGAAUAGUGCUGCAAUAAACAUACGUGAGCAUGUGUCUCUAUGGAA